GUGGGGUUCUGGAAAUAAUCUCCUACUGUUGUUGCAUCAACAAGAAGCGUUGUCAAUUUAUACUGUCCUAGAAGAUUUACCUGUUUGAAAACUUGAGGACUUGGAGAAUGCGAUGUUGGCUUGAAGGACAUGAUGUUUAUGUAACUGGAUGCUAGCAGCUUGUGGGUCUGAGCCUUUCUUUUGGAAUUGCAAGUCAUUAGAGAAUUCAACAUAGAAAGCUACCUGUAGUCCUGUACGCACAAGAUGCCCCCCAGUGUCUGACCAGCCAACCUCAAUAGUGGAAAUACAAGGCAAAAAAGUAGUGAAUAGUCUUGACCGGUCAAGCU
This 326-nucleotide long non-coding RNA is filed under the name Rosa chinensis. RNAcentral's name for it is "sRNA RchiOBHm_Chr6g0309011". The record is from RNAcentral. Lineage: Eukaryota; Viridiplantae; Streptophyta; Magnoliopsida; Rosales; Rosaceae.